AUGGGGAAAAUCCGUAACUUUGACUGUAAAUGCUACACGAGGAGAAAAGAGAACUCUCUGUAUGGGAGACAGUCCUGUAGCCAGAAGCUUUCUCCAGACAUUAUGUACAACAUACGGCUGGAUUCUUUAGCUGUGGAAAAAGAGUGGCAGGACAUGCAAAUUAUUGGACAUUUAGAGGCAAACAGACGCACAGUGCAAACUUCGGAGAUGGUAACAUCCACAAAGAAGACCCCGACAAAGAGAAAGUGUGCCCGAACGACUUAUUUCAUUGGAGGCAACGAGAUCUGCAAGAAUACUUUUCUGUUUCUUAUGGGGAGAGAUUGAUGGCUUUCUGCUGGCAGAUAGGGGUUACCCAUGCACACCAAAUCUUAUUACCCCUUACCCAGAACCUGAACCAGGCCCCCAGCAGCGCUUCAAUGUGGCACACUGCAGGACGAGAGCCUGGGUGGAGAUGACCAUAGGCCUGUUGAAAGCACAUUUCCAGUGCCUACGUCACCUCAGGGUAACCCCUGAAAGGGCCUGUGACAUUAUUGUGGCAUGUGUUGUUCUCCAUAACAUUGCCAUAAUUAGAGGGGAGCAACACCCUGCCCUACAAUUACAAGAUCCUGAGAAAGACCCCAUGAACCCUGCAGGAUGGAAGGGUAGUCCGGGAUAUGAUAUGCCGCAAUGUUUUCUCAGAUUAAUCAUGAUAUCCACCACAAAAAAACAAAAAAGAAAAUGAAUAAACAUGAAAACACAGCAAUUUAUAUGGUGUUCUUUAUUUCCUACUAAAAAAAAAAAGGUUAGAUUUUAAUAUAGUUUCAAUACUUACUAGAAUUCACCUGUGAACUUACACUCACCUCUAGCUUUUGUUUCAGAAUCUCGAUUUCCAGAUCUGCCUUUUGGAUCUGGCGGUCCAAGUAUACAAGUUCUUUGCUGUUUUUUUCUAUCUUUUUAAUAAGAAGAAGUCUAUAUAACUCCUUAACUGGCAACUGAAAAUACAGAUUCUAUUGGCUACUCCACAUAAAAAUGUGAAGAAAUGUGAAUGUGUAGAUUGUUUGAUGUGUAGACACAUAUUAAUAUUUCCUCUGUAGGCCUCUCUGUGGCAGCAGAAACGGUUUCUUCAUCCCCAUCAUCCUGUGAAGAUGAGCAUUUCAUAGAGUACACUUUAUAAUACUAUUUGUCAUAAUUUAUUGUGUAUUGAGUACAGUGGCGCAAAAAGUGGGUAUGCGCUAUAUGGGGGGCAAAGCGAUGGUUAAUUUUUUUUAAAAAUAAUAAUAGUUAUAUACAUUUAUAUAAAAGUUAUAUAUAAAAAAAGUUAUAUAAAUUUUAGAGGACUAACAGGCUAAGCGCCGGUGCCCUCAUAAGAUUCCAGACAUAGAAUUUAGACAUACAAGAGUAAUAUCGCGAGUGGGCGGGGUGCCGUGAGUGCUGAGUGAGCAGCAGUAACGUUAGUGAGUUGUCGUUGAAACCAUAGUGAAACUCGAAAAAGAUGGAUAAAGCAAAAAAGCUAUCGGGGGCUAAAAAUAGAAAAAGAAAGAGCGAAAAGGAGAUGGCAUGUCAGGGGAUGCAACAGCAGCUAAAUAAGUGGUCUCCAAAGUAGACAACGACCUCCUGAAGUAUGCAGAACAGCUUGUUUGCUUCCAGACAUUUGGGAUCUCUGCCACGGAUUCAAAUUCCUGAUGGAACUGUUCCUUUGUCUACCUCAAGAAAUAAUAAGUUGGUCCAAGUGUUUAAAUCAUGUUAAAUUUUCAAUGUUAAACACAAAUCAAAGUAAAUUUUGACAUACUUUUUUUAUUUUAAGUUUACAAUAGUUUUAGAUAGAUAGAUAGAUAGAUAGAUAGAUAGAUAGAUAGAUAGAUAGAUACAGUGCAGUGAAAAGGUUUUUGCUCCUUGCUGUUUUUUUUUUUUUUUGCGUAUUUGUCGCACUUAAAAAAUAUCAUUAGACAAAUAUUGAUAUUACACAAAGAUAAUGCAAGUAAAUACAAAAUGCAGUUUUUAAAUGAUAAUUUCAUGUAUUAAGGGAAAAAAGCUGUCCAAACCUACCAAACCACCUCCUGUUAAAUGUUGAAAGAACUGUGAUUAACCACAUUAUUUUAGAAAGCUGAGUUAAACUUCACUAGCCAAACCCAGGCCUGAUUAAUGCCAAACCUGCUGAAUCAAGAAAUAGAA
This is a long non-coding RNA of Cyprinus carpio carpio, 2151 nucleotides long. The record is from Ensembl. Lineage: Eukaryota; Metazoa; Chordata; Actinopteri; Cypriniformes; Cyprinidae.